RNAcentral lists this ribosomal RNA (497 nucleotides) under uncultured bacterium. RNAcentral describes it as "partial 16S ribosomal RNA". It matches the Rfam family "Bacterial small subunit ribosomal RNA", at positions 28 to 507 of the family's 1533-position model. The record is from RNAcentral.
GAUGAACGCUGGCGGCGUGCCUAAUACAUGCAAGUCGAGCGAACGGACGAGAAGCUUGCUUCUCUGAUGUUAGCGGCGUACGGGUGAGUAACACGUGGAUAACCUACCUAUAAGACUGUGAUAACUUCGGGAAACCGGAGCUAAUACCGGAUAAUAUUUUGAACCGCAUGGUUCAAAAGUGAAAGACGGUCUUGCUGUCACUUAUAGAUGGAUCCGCGCUGCAUUAGCUAGUUGGUAAGGUAACGGCUUACCAAGGCAACGAUGCAUAGCCGACCUGACAGGGUGAUCGGACACACUGGAACUGAGACACGGUCCAGACUCCUACGGGAGGCAGCAGUAGGGAAUCUUCCGAAAUGGGCGAAAGCCUGACGGAGCAACGCCGCGUGAAUGAUGAAGGUCUUCGGAUCGUAAAACUCUGUUAUUAGGGAAGAACAUAUGUGUAAGUAACUAGGCACAUCUUGACGGUACCUAAUCAGAAAGCAACGGCUAACUACGUG